GAGUUUGAUCUUGGCUCAGAUUGAACGCUGGCGGCAUGCCUUACACAUGCAAGUCGAACGGCAGCACGGGAGCUUGCUCCUGGUGGCGAGUGGCGAACGGGUGAGUAAUGCAUCGGAACGUAUUCUGGAGUGGGGGAUAACGUAGCGAAAGUUACGCUAAUACCGCAUAUUCUGUGAGCAGGAAAGCGGGGGACCUUCGGGCCUCGCGCUCUUGGAGCGGCCGAUGUCGGAUUAGCUAGUUGGUGAGGUAAAGGCUCACCAAGGCGACGAUCCGUAGCAGGUCUGAGAGGAUGAUCUGCCACACUGGAACUGAGACACGGUCCAGACUCCUACGGGAGGCAGCAGUGGGGAAUUUUGGACAAUGGGGGCAACCCUGAUCCAGCCAUGCCGCGUGAGUGAAGAAGGCCUCGGUUGUAAGAC
RNAcentral lists this ribosomal RNA (420 nucleotides) under bacterium enrichment culture clone ALO1_GLFRUDD03GELIG. Its description in RNAcentral is "bacterial SSU rRNA". It matches the Rfam family "Bacterial small subunit ribosomal RNA", at positions 9 to 431 of the family's 1533-position model. The record is from RNAcentral.